AUAGGAAUAUGUUGAAAUUAUUGAUAUUUUUAAAGAUUUUAAAUAAUUUUUUUAGAAAUAUCAUAAAGAAUAAAAUAAAGUUAUUUUUUUAUUUUUAACAAAUAAAAAAUAAUUAGAUUUUUUAUGAAAAUUUUUAUUAUUAAAAUAUGAAAUACCACAAUAUAUUUUAAAUAACUUUAUUUUAUAAUAUAAAUAAACUUUCAAUAAGUAUAAUAAACUCUAAAUAUAUAGGAAUAUAUUGAAAUUAUUGAUAUUUUUAAAGAUUUUAAAUAAUUUUUUAGAAAUAUCAUAAAGAAUAAAAUAAAGUUAUUUUUAUUUUAACAAAUAAAAAAUAAUUAGAUUUUUUAUGAAAAUUUUUAUUAUUAAAAUAUGAAAUACCACAAUAUAUUUUAAAUAAUUUUAUUUUAUAAUAUAAAUAAACUUUCAAUAAGUAUAAUAAACUCUAAACAUAUACGAAAGCACGUGGCUGAGGAUAUAAAAAUGGAUAUGGUCGGAUAAUAUCUGAUGUAGACAAAUCUCUACCAUACCUUUCAAAUUUAGUGACUU
Molecule: long non-coding RNA, 546 nt
Filed under: Phoenix dactylifera (date palm)
Lineage: Eukaryota; Viridiplantae; Streptophyta; Magnoliopsida; Arecales; Arecaceae
Description: long non-coding RNA (PDAC_LNC002498)
Source: RNAcentral